CUGGCCCACACUCAAGGGAGGGCAAUCGGCUCUACCUUUCGAGUGGAGGACUAAAAAAGGAUUUGUGGAUGUAUUUGAAAACCAUCACAGAUGAAUAGACAUCAUAUAUAAGAAGAAUGUAAAUAGAAGAGAAAACUGUUCUUCCCACUGUGAUAGGAACACUCCUCUGAUGACUGCAGUGCCUUUAUUGGCAAACACUCACAGCGUACAGAGGGCACAGUUCUAUGCCCAUACCUCUGACAAGCAGGAUCUCAUGGCUGCCCUCAAAGAACUUUGAAUCUCAGGAGAAGAGAGAUACCACCAUAAAAUUAUUAAACCAUGGAGGAGGUACACCAUUGUAUGCAUAAUGUAUAUAUCAAUUAUAAUUCUAGUUUAUUGCUUAUUGUUUUCAUGUGUAUUGAUUGUGUCAAUCAAACUGCAAUGUAAAUUCUUUGCACACAAGGGCCUCAUUUGUCUUCCCUCAUUUCUGCUUACUUUCCAGCACAGAGUCUGUCUCAUACUAGGACUUUAAUAAAACUUACUGAUAGAAUGGGGCUGGUCCACUGCUUUCUGGUUCCUGUAAAACCAUGAAUGUAUGGCUAUCCCAAGCAAUAGACGUAAAGCACUUCCUGAAUCAGAACACCUCUAACCUAUUAGAAAUUAUAAAAACUAAUUUGAAAAGAAAUUCUUAGACUUGAAGAAGGGAAUGAAAUAAUAGUAAUGAUACCUGACAUUGGGCCAUGCGCUCUCAUCUAAUUUAAUGGUCACAGCGAUCCAAUUCUGUCAUUAUUGCUAUCGUGACCAUUUAAA
This 789-nucleotide long non-coding RNA is filed under the name Equus asinus (donkey). RNAcentral describes it as "lncRNA (ENSEASG00005035915.1)". The record is from RNAcentral. Lineage: Eukaryota; Metazoa; Chordata; Mammalia; Perissodactyla; Equidae.